This 147-nucleotide ribosomal RNA is filed under the name uncultured bacterium. Its description in RNAcentral is "partial 16S ribosomal RNA". It matches the Rfam family "Bacterial small subunit ribosomal RNA", at positions 1353 to 1500 of the family's 1533-position model. The record is from RNAcentral.
CAUACUGCCGUGAAUACGUUCCCGGGCCUUGUACACACCGCCCGUCACACCAUGAGAGUUGGGAAUACCCGAAGCCUGUGAGCUAACUUAUAGAGGCAGCAGUCGAAGGUAGAAUCAAUGAUUGGGGUGAAGUCGUAACAAGGUACC